ACGCUCGACACCUACGGGUGGCAGCAGUGGGGAAUAUUGCACAAUGGGGGAAACCCUGAUGCAGCGACGCCGCGUGAGCGAAGAAGUAUCUCGGUAUGUAAAGCUCUAUCAGCAGGGAAGAAGAUGACGGUACCUGACUAAGAAGCACCGGCUAAAUACGUGCCAGCAGCCGCGGUAAUCUGAGCGGGCUGGCAAGGC
RNAcentral lists this ribosomal RNA (198 nucleotides) under uncultured bacterium. RNAcentral's name for it is "partial 16S ribosomal RNA". It matches the Rfam family "Bacterial small subunit ribosomal RNA", at positions 328 to 539 of the family's 1533-position model. The record is from RNAcentral.